UGGGGAAUAUUGGACAAUGGGCGGAAGCCUGAUCCAGCCAUGCCGCGUGUGUGAAGAAGGCCUUUUGGUUGUAAAGCACUUUAAGCGAGGAGGAGGCUACUUGGAUUAAUACUCUAGGAUAGUGGACGUUACUCGCAGAAUAAGCACCGGCUAACUCUGUGCCCGCAGCCGCGGUAAUACAGAGGGUGCGAGCGUUAAUCGGAUUUACUGGGCGUAAAGCGUGCGUAGGCGGCUUCUUAAGUCGGAUGUGAAAUCCCUGAGCUUAACUUAGGAAUUGCAUUCGAUACUGGGAAGCUAGAGUAUGGGAGAGGAUGGUAGAAUUCCAGGUGUAGCGGUGAAAUGCGUAGAGAUCUGGAGGAAUACCGAUGGCGAAGGCAGCCAUCUGGCCUAAUACUGACGCUGAGGUACGAAAGCAUGGGGAGCAAACAGG
RNAcentral lists this ribosomal RNA (430 nucleotides) under Acidobacteriota bacterium. RNAcentral's name for it is "Acidobacteria bacterium partial 16S ribosomal RNA". It matches the Rfam family "Bacterial small subunit ribosomal RNA", at positions 355 to 776 of the family's 1533-position model. The record is from RNAcentral. Lineage: Bacteria; Pseudomonadati; Acidobacteriota.